Molecule: long non-coding RNA, 1397 nt
Filed under: Solanum pimpinellifolium
Lineage: Eukaryota; Viridiplantae; Streptophyta; Magnoliopsida; Solanales; Solanaceae
Description: long non-coding RNA (SPIM_LNC000183)
Source: RNAcentral
AAAGGCAGUGAACAUUUAUACCUGUUUUGCCAAACCAGUGAUCUGCUGCAAAUCACCAGCAGCACCAGUAGUCACUUCAGGUUCACCAAAGAUCACUUCUUCUGCAGCUCUUCCACCGAGUCCACCAACAAUUCUAGCAAAGAGUUGCUGCUUGGAUAUUAAGGUUGGAUCAUCUGCAGGAAUGAACCAGGUCAAACCUUUUGCCUGACCACGUGGAAUUAGAGUGACCUUUUGGACAGGAUCAUGCCCUGGAGUGAGAGUUCUGCAUGUCAAAGAACACANUGACAAGGUUAGAAAUGAGACCAUUCGGGAGAAGCUAGAGGUGGCUCCGAUGGCUGAUAAGAUGAGAGAAGCGAGACUGCGAUGGUUUGUACAUGUGUAGAGAAGGAGUACCAAUGCUCCUAUUAGGAGGUGCGAGAGGUUGUUUUUAGGAGCUACACGGAAAGGUAGAGGUAAACCGAAGAAGUAAUGGGGGGAGGUGAUCAAACAUGAUAUGGUGGAACUUGAUCUCACUGGGGACAUGACCCUAGAUAGAAAGAAGUGGAGGUCGCGAAUUAGAGUAGUAGGCUAAUUGGUUAGUAGGGUUAGGUGGUUAUCUAGUCAUGGGGUAUAGUAGGGUAGAUGAGUAGUAGUGUUUUAUAACAUGUGUUGUCAUUAUUUGUUGUUUAUGUGUUAAUUGUAUCAUAUUUACGUAUUGUCAUGUGCUUUUGGUUAUUAGUCGUUUUUUGUUGUUCCCUUUCUUUUACUUUUUGUCAUAUCUAGUUUAUUCUGCUUAUGGGUUUUUGAGACGAGGGUUCCUAGGAAACAACCUCUCUACUUCUAUGAGGUAGUGGUAAGGUCUGCGUACAUUCUACCCUUCCCAGACCACACUUGUGGAUUCCACUGGGUAUGUUGUUGCUGUUUAAGACCAAAAGUUCAAAAAAUCUUUCUUUCUUGAUUCUGUGUCAAGUCAAACUACACCACAUAAAUUGAAACCGUGGAAGUAAUUGUAUUGCUCAUUGCUCAUUAUCUCUAUAAUCUUUUGAAGGAAAGGGGGGAGUAGAGGUUAAUUCAAACCAAUCAAUCUGUAGAUUUCUAGCCUCCACAGAUUACCUCAACACAUAUUCCAUUCCAGAAUACUUGACAAAACAAAAAAAAGGCAGUGAACAUUUAUACCUGUUUUGCCAAACCAGUGAUCUGCUGCAAAUCACCAGCAGCACCAGUAGUCACUUCAGGUUCACCAAAGAUCACUUCUUCUGCAGCUCUUCCACCGAGUCCACCAACAAUUCUAGCAAAGAGUUGCUGCUUGGAUAUUAAGGUUGGAUCAUCUGCAGGAAUGAACCAGGUCAAACCUUUUGCCUGACCACGUGGAAUUAGAGUGACCUUUUGGACAGGAUCAUGCCCUGGAGUGAGAGUUC